This is a long non-coding RNA of Oxyura jamaicensis (ruddy duck), 1262 nucleotides long. RefSeq lists it as uncharacterized. The transcript is spliced from 4 exons. NCBI's taxonomy places the organism in Eukaryota, Metazoa, Chordata, Aves, Anseriformes, Anatidae. The record is from RefSeq and is a predicted model, not a curated record.
AGAGGGUCGGGAGGCCGGGGGCGGCCCCGCCACAGCCCGGCCCGAGCGGGGUUAGCCUCGGGGCACCGCCGCCUCCCCCGACGGGGCGGGCCGGCUGCGGCCGGGCUGGGGGGCGGCGAGCCGGGAGGCUCCGUGGCGUUGGGAAAAAGAGGGGGGGGGGCGAGCAGACGGGGCGGCCCCCGGGUGUGGGGAAGCGGCGGCCGUGGCGAAUGGCUCUGCCCCCGGGGGGGGUGACCCCUGCCCCGGCCCCACCGCCCGGGCUUUGUCCCCGCCGGCCGCCCCGUCCCUCCUCCCGCCCUUCCCCGCCCUCCGCCGGCUCUGCCUCAACUUUAGAGGCAGGUCCCGGAGGCUCCGGGAGUGGGACCGGCACCGGGCGGGGGCUGGCAGCCUCCUCCCCACCCCGGCAGCACGGAAAGGACGCGGACACCCGGAGCCGACGGCGACAGAGGAGAAAUCCCCACAUCGCCUCGAUCAGCGUGGUUUUGGCAGCACCCACCAAAAAGGAUGGGGACAGGGACAAGGCGAAGCCAUACCAGCGUAGGGGAGCAGCCGGGGCAGCGGGGAGACGACCACUGCGCAGAACCCUGGCCCUGGAAAUCAAAGGAAAGAGGAGCUGCACCAGGACCUGGUGUUAGGACGGAGCUUUCCAGCCUGGAGGAGGCUGCUCCUGCCGUGGGUUUGCAGCGGUGAAGUUGUGCCUGGCUCUCGGGGCUGGGCUGGUGUGGUGGCAUCCCUCCUCCACAAGCACGAUGCGCGGAGCUGAGCAUGGGAAGUUAGCUGCGCUCCCCCAAGGAUGCUCAAGACCCCAUGGUCCCUUGUGGAUGCGGAAGGGGGCUCUGCCAGCCGCACCCCAUGGGCAGGGCGCCAGGACCCCCACCGGCGACUCGUGGGGACGAGGACACGGGUGAAGACGUGCCACCGCGCUCCCCGGGGACAGCGUGAGGGUCAGCCUCUUUGCAAGCCACCCGUCGCGAAGCACAGCUCUCGGUGAGGUGAGUGGACACCGUGGGAUGCGGAUGGCCAAGAAAGGUUGGAGAAGAGCCGAGGCUUGGUUUGCAGCGUGGUCAGGAUCCGUGCAGACGCCCUUCCCGUCCUGUCCCCAGGGUAAGGGCUUGCUCCGUCCCCGUGGCUGGAGCCAGGAGUGCCCAGGAGGGUCCCAGGCCACCGAGCCCGAGGCAUCAGGGAAUGAGGUCUGCAGCUCAACGAGGUGAAAAGGAGAAAGAAACACAAGACCCAAGCAUAUUAAAGGUGUUCCAAACCUA